UGGGGAAUAUUGGACAAUGGGCGCAAGCCUGAUCCAGCAAUGCCGCGUGAGUGAAGAAGGUCUUCGGAUUGUAAAGCUCUUUCGACGGGGACGAUGAUGACGGUACCCGUAGAAGAAGCCCCGGCUAACUUCGUGCCAGCAGCCGCGGUAAUACGAAGGGGGCUAGCGUUGCUCGGAAUGACUGGGCGUAAAGGGCGCGUAGGCGGUUUGUACAGUCAGAUGUGAAAUUCCUGGGCUUAACCUGGGGGCUGCAUUUGAUACGUGCAGACUUGAGUGAGGAAGAGGGUCGUGGAAUUCCCAGUGUAGAGGUGAAAUUCGUAGAUAUUGGGAAGAACACCGGUGGCGAAGGCGGCGACCUGGUCCUUGACUGACGCUGAGGCGCGAAAGCGUGGGGAGCAAACAGGAUUAGAUACCCUGGUAGUCCACGCUGUAAACGAUGUGUGCUGGAUGUUGGGUGACCUAGUCACUCAGUGUCGUAGCUAACGCGAUAAGCACACCGCCU
This 502-nucleotide ribosomal RNA is filed under the name uncultured bacterium. RNAcentral's name for it is "bacterial SSU rRNA". It matches the Rfam family "Bacterial small subunit ribosomal RNA", at positions 355 to 874 of the family's 1533-position model. The record is from RNAcentral.